CCUACGGGUGGCAGCAGUGGGGAAUAUUGGACAAUGGGGGCAACCCUGAUCCAGCCAUGCCGCGUGUGUGAAGAAGGCCCUCGGGUUGUAAAGCACUUUCAGUGAGGAAGAACGCCUGGUGGUUAAUACCCAUCAGGAAAGACAUCACUCACAGAAGAAGCACCGGCUAACUCCGUGCCAGCAGCCGCGGUAAUACGGAGGGUGCGAGCGUUAAUCGGAAUUACUGGGCGUAAAGCGCGCGUAGGUGGCUUGAUAAGCCGGUUGUGAAAGCCCCGGGCUCAACCUGGGAACGGCAUCCGGAACUGUCAAGCUAGAGUGCAGGAGAGGAAGGUAGAAUUCCCGGUGUAGCGGUGAAAUGCGGAGAGAUCGGGAGGAAUACCAGUGGCGAAGGCGGCCUUCUGGACUGACACUGACACUGAGGUGCGAAAGCGUGGGUAGCAAACAGGAUUAGAUACCCCUGUAGUC
RNAcentral lists this ribosomal RNA (465 nucleotides) under Vreelandella stevensii. RNAcentral's name for it is "partial 16S ribosomal RNA". It matches the Rfam family "Bacterial small subunit ribosomal RNA", at positions 338 to 795 of the family's 1533-position model. The record is from RNAcentral. Lineage: Bacteria; Pseudomonadati; Pseudomonadota; Gammaproteobacteria; Oceanospirillales; Halomonadaceae.